RNAcentral lists this ribosomal RNA (301 nucleotides) under uncultured bacterium. RNAcentral's name for it is "partial 16S ribosomal RNA". It matches the Rfam family "Bacterial small subunit ribosomal RNA", at positions 509 to 807 of the family's 1533-position model. The record is from RNAcentral.
CAGUAGCCGCGGUAAUACGAAGGGGGCUAGCGUUGUUCGGAUUUACUGGGCGUAAAGCGCACGUAGGCGGAUCGAUCAGUCAGGGGUGAAAUCCCAGAGCUCAACUCUGGAACUGCCUUUGAUACUGUCGAUCUGGAGUAUGGAAGAGGUGAGUGGAAUUCCGAGUGUAGAGGUGAAAUUCGUAGAUAUUCGGAGGAACACCAGUGGCGAAGGCGGCUCACUGGUCCAUUACUGACGCUGAGGUGCGAAAGCGUGGGGAGCAAACAGGAUUAGAUACCCCAGUAGUCCCUGUCUCUUAUAC